UUUAGUGGCAGACGAGUUAGUAACGCGUAAGAAAUCUACCCUAAAGCGGGGGACAACUGGGCGAAAGUUCAGCUAAUACCCCAUACGAUCAUGAAAUGGAGUCAUUUUAUGAUCAAAGGCUUCGGCCACUUUUGGAUGAUCUUGCGUCCUAUCAGCUAGUUGGUGAGGUAACGGCUCACCAAGGCUAUGACGGGUACCCGGCCUGAAAGGGCGGACGGGAACGGAGGCACUGAGACACGGGCCUCACUUC
RNAcentral lists this ribosomal RNA (250 nucleotides) under uncultured bacterium. RNAcentral describes it as "partial 16S ribosomal RNA". It matches the Rfam family "Bacterial small subunit ribosomal RNA", at positions 91 to 339 of the family's 1533-position model. The record is from RNAcentral.